AGCCACCGCGCCCGGGCCUAGUUCCUUAUUUCUGGUAUUAAUUAAUUGCAUCAAAAAUAUAUUGAGCCUUCAGGGGGUACCCUUGGGCUUAACAAAGAAGUGUGAGACACAGUUUUUGUCCUCAAGAAACUUACAUCCUGACUGAGAAGUUAACAUUCUUUUUUUUUUCUUUUAAGUUCACAUUCUUAAAUGAGAACUCAUGACUUCCUUGAAGGGAUCUGUAAGGUUGUGUAGCUUUUCUCUUGGAGUUAUCAGUGUUGGAACAGAGAGUAAAGAAUGCAGGAUGGAUCCAGGUUUGAAAGGAUAAGAGGAUAAGAAUAUUGAGGAUCUAUGGAGAGUUCAUAAGGUUCUCAGAUUGGGCACAGAAAGAAGGAAUACCAAGGUGUAUCUGUGCCUGUGUCAGCAAAGUAGGGAUUGAACAUAAAGACAGAGAAAGUGGUUAAUGCAUAUGGUGGACAGGUAGAAGCUGAAGGGGACUCCAUAAGGUCAAGAAAGAAAUGGAGGGUGGGAAAAGGUCAAGAGAGAUCAAACAAUGUCUCUUGUCCAUGUUUCCUGUGGGUCUGUCUUUGCCUUCUCAAACACAUGGUAAAAAAGGGACCAGACAUGACAUUUCUCUUGUGUAUUUUUUCCUGAAGAAAAAUUCACGGCUCAUUCAUGGGAUCUGUGAAGAUCAUUUGGUUGAAAUUAUCAACUUUCUUGUACAUACAUAGAAAUGAUUAAGAUGCUCAUUUGUUUGUGUGUAUGGUGACCUCCAAAGUGUCUCCUGAUGCAAUCUUAUGUGGUAUAAACACACCCACAUACACAAUGAUGACGAAGAAGAAGUCCCCAUCACCUGAUAAUUGUUCAUUACUUUCAAGUAAAGGGAAAUUAUUAUCUCCAGGGGAUUUCAGAGAGACCCACAUGCUGGAAGUAAUUUGCCUUACCAGCAAAGCCAAAGUUUCUCUUCCUUCCCAUAGGCUGACAGCUCUCCUUUUACUCUUCCUGGGUUUUCAGGCUAAGUGCAUUUGAAGGCCCCAUAAACAAUUUAAACUUUCUGAUCCUGCUACUGUUCCCCUGCUCAACACUCAGCUUAUUCUCAAGUUUAUAUUUAACCAAUAUAAUCCUCGUGAAAGACUUUUACAGUUGAAGUCACAGCAAAAACUAGAGAAUAAAAUUUGGAUUAAAAAGCUAAAUUUAAAAAGCUCAGACUUUAUGAUGUCAUAAUUACUCUGUAUUCUUGGAUAUUGUAUAAUUGUUGGUCCCUGGGCGCCACACCUGUUGGAGGUAGCAACUAUUUGGGGCCAGUGGCACGGGUGGUAAAGGAAUUUACCAAGACGGUUGUAGGUAAAACCAAAAAAAAAGGCAGAUUUAUUAGAGAAAGUAUGAAAAUAUAUCGCAAGGAUGCAAUAGGCAGCAUACAGAGAAGGGAACGUCUACAAAGAGGCAGAGGUUGGAGGGAAGUUUUGUAGCAUCUUGCUGGGGAGGGCUACAUGUUUGUGAUUAGCUGUAUCUCAGAACAAUUGGUCAUUGCUCUCCUCAUAGUGGAGCCCUCCCCAAUGUGGGGUCCCUUCCUCCUCAUUGCUUACUUACCUCAUCAGGACUCCACAACACCCACAGUAGGUCCCUUGAUAUAGUGUCUUACAUUCAUGUUGGCUACCCAAGUGCUGCCCAGUACCGUCGGACACAGUGGAGCCUUACAAUUGUCUGUGCCUUUGAAGGGAAUGUGUCUCAUGUCCAGCUUAAACAUACCAGCAGUGCCUAUUAUAAGAGCUUUUUUUUUUUCUCAGGUAGCAUUUUAAAAUUCUUUAAGCUGUAUCCCAGACAUGAAAGACUUGACCUGAAUCAUGUGGUUACCAUGGCAUCUAAAGAGAACCUUUAGAAGCUUAUCGAUUUUUCCGGACAGAAAGAUGGUAAACUGCUCCAAUAGAACAGUUUCUACCUUGCAGGCUGAGAAUAAAAACUAUAUUUAUCUGAAACAGCAAAUCUGAUCUUCAAAACUUCUCUCAAGCAUAAUCUUCUAUGAGCUAUUUGCUGAAAACUGCUUACCAGUUUUUAUGCUCCAGCACUGACUUGGAGCAGCUUUUCUUUCAUCUCUGACCUGGAAGCUUCUUUUCAAGUAAAAUAAAAAUAUGAAGGACCCUAGCCAAGAAAUCCCUUCAAAUCUCAGAGGAGAGUCUAACUACCCUUAUUCAGGGAGACUGAAGCAAAAACAGGUCUACCCUGAAUAAAACGGCAGAUCCACUUUCUGUGCAGGCAACCUCUCCCUUUCUGACACAGUUCUUUGAUGUUAAUCUAAUUUUCAUUAAUUGCUAACUCUAAAGCAACAGAGCUUAAAUCUUUGAAAGGACUGCUUUUCAUACAAUCUUAUUGUGUGAAAUUUGUGCUUAAUAGAAAGGUCACUGGACCACCAGCUUUUUGCCUUAGAGUUAGUAGGCAGGGACUAAGUCAUUAAUUUCUAUUGCUUGGCAUUUCUAUAACACUUGGCAGUAUUCAAAACACUUUUAUAUCCAUUAUUAUUUGAGCCACAAUGGAGUAACAACACCGUGAGGCAGAGACAGAUAUUUUUUAAAAUUACCCCUCUUCACUUUUUUUUUUUUUGGAUUAGGGAAUUAGGUGGCACCAGGGAUUUGAACCCUGCUACUGGAGUAGGGUGGUCCAUCUUCUCUGAGUAUUGCCGGAAUUUCUAAUUGCGAUGGUCGUCCCCUCCCUAGAGGAGCUGGACUCCCUCAAGUAGAGAGACCUGCAGAACUUAGCCAAGAGUCUGGGUCUCUGGGCCAACCUGAGGGCAGACAAGUUGUUAAAAGCCUUGAAAGGCCACAUUAAUCGUGAGGCAAGAAAAGGAAAUGAGGAUCAGGAUGAAAGUCAAACUUCCGCAUCCUCUUGUGAUGAGACUGAGAUACAGAUCAGCAGCCAGGAAGAAGCUGAGAGAGAGCCAGUUGGCCAUGCCACCAAAACAAGGAGAAGGCACAAGACUGUCCGUGUGGACCCUGACUCCCAGCAGAAUCAUUCAGAGAUAAAAAUAGGUCAUCCCACUGAAUUCCAGAAUCAUGAAAAGCAGGAAAGCCAGGAUCUCAGAGCUACUGCAAAAGUUUCUUCUCCAGAUGAGCACCAAGGGAGCUGAGAAUGCUAUUUCCUCAGGAAAACGUAGAAUAAAUGGCAACAAAGAUGCAAAGAUACCUUCAGAAAGAAAGAAAUAUCUCUACACAGAUGAGUUAUCCAAACCUGGAAAAAAUAAAAGAACUGCAAUCACCACUCCAAACUUUAAGAAGCUUCAUGAAGCUCAUUUUAAGGAAAUGGAGUCCAUUGAUCAAUAUAUUAAGAGGAAAAAGAAACAUUUUGAAGAACACAAUUCCAUCGGUGAACUGAGGCAGCAGCCCAUCAAUAAGGGAGGAGUCAUGACUCCAGUACCUCCAAAAGGAAGACUCUCUGUGGCUUCUUCUCCCAUCAGCCAAUGACGCUCGCAAGGCCAGUCUUAUGGCCCUGCAAGUCAGAGUACCUUGGGUCUGAAGGGGUCACUCAAGUGCUCUGCUAUCUCUGCAGCUGAAACAGGUGUCAGGUUUUCAGCUGCUACUAAAGAUAAUGAGCAUAAGUGUUCACUGACCAAGACUCCAGCCAGAAGGUCUGCACAUGUGACCAUGUCUGGGAAUACCCCAAAAGGCGAGGCUAUGCUCGGGACACAAAUUAAAGACCAACAAGAGGAAUUCUGCUGCUGUUAUUACCCCAUUCAAGUUGACAACUGAGGCAAUGCAGACUUCAUUCUCGAAUAAGAAACCAGUGUUUGAUCUUAAAGCAAGUUUGUCUCGUCCCCUCAACUAUGAACCACACAAAGGAAAGCUAAAACCAUGGGGGCAAUCUAAAGAAAAUAAUUAUCUGAAUGGACAUGUCAACAGAAUUAACUUCCACAAGGAAACUUACAAACAACCCCGUCUCCAGACAAAGGAAGAGCAACAGAAAAAAUGUGAGCAAGAAUGAAAGGAGAAGAAAGCAAAGCUUCUGGGAGUGCGAAGGGGCCUCAUUUUGGCUGAAGAUUAGUAAUUUUUAACAUCUUGUAAAUAUUCCUGUCUUCUGAACUUUUUUUCCUUUUGUAAUUGUUGUUGUUGUCUUCCCUGCUUUAGUCAAAAGACCUUUUUCUGCCGACUGUUGAUAUUCUAUGUCGUGUCCAGGGUUCUUCAUGUGCUACGAUCUCUGAAAAGAUGUUAUCACCUUAAAGCUCAAAUUCUUUGGGAUGGUUUUUGUUUAAGUCCCUGUACAGCUCAGUUUUCUAAAGAGACCUGUCCUUAGAUUCUGGUCCUAGAUUUUUAAUGUCAAGUUCCCCCUGCUGGUUCUAGUAUGAACAGAAUUGCAGUCUUCCGCUAGGCAAUAGCAUUUACCUUUUGGCAGCUAGUUAUACAAGCUUCAGUAGAAAUUGAACAAUAACAAGAAUAGGGUAAGCUGGGGUAGAAAGGCCUCCUCUUCACUCUCUACAGAAUAUAGUACGCUUUAUGAAAUGGGGCCAUAUGGUUUGGUUAUGACAUCAAUAUUUUAUCUAGGUGAAAUUGUUAAGGCUCAUAUCAACCUUUGUUCAAAUAGCCUCCGGUAAUUGCCAUCUGUCACUCGCUAUAUUUGCAAAAAUAAAACUCAUAUAACU
RNA transcript from Sapajus apella (tufted capuchin), 4606 nucleotides. It is a transcript of the gene named nucleolar and spindle-associated protein 1-like, with no coding region annotated. NCBI's taxonomy places the organism in Eukaryota, Metazoa, Chordata, Mammalia, Primates, Cebidae. The record is from RefSeq and is a predicted model, not a curated record. The transcript has a single exon.